RNAcentral lists this ribosomal RNA (438 nucleotides) under uncultured cyanobacterium. Its description in RNAcentral is "bacterial SSU rRNA". It matches the Rfam family "Bacterial small subunit ribosomal RNA", at positions 43 to 538 of the family's 1533-position model. Lineage: Bacteria; Bacillati; Cyanobacteriota. The record is from RNAcentral.
UAUGUUACACAUGCAAGUCGAACGGAACUUCGGGUUAGUGGCGGACGGGUGAGUACGCGUGAGAAUCUGCUCUAGGUCGGGACAACAAUUGGAAACGAUUGUAAAUACCCGAUGUGCAGCAUGUGAAGAUUAUUGCUAGAGAUGAGCUCGGUUGAUAGUAGUAGUGUGGUAUGGGCACCUAGAGCGACGAUCAGUAACUGGUCUGAGAGGAUGCCAGUCACCCUGGGGAACUUGAGAACCGGGCCCAGACUCCUACGGGAGGCAGCAGUGGGGAAUUUUCCCGCAAAUGGGCGAAAGCCUGACGGAGCAAUACCGCGUGAGGGACGAAGGCUUUUGGGUCGUAAACCCCUUUUCCCUGAGAAGAAGAUCUGACGGUAUCAGGGGAAUCAGCAUCGGCUAACUUCGUGCCAGCAGCCGCGGUAAUACGAGGGAUGCAAG